AUUGCCGGAACGUUACUGAAUUUGUUCCUGUCCAAGUCCUCUCAAGUCCAGCUUACUGCAAGAACUAUAGCUGCAUAGACAACAGACAGACAGACAGACAGAUGGACAGACGGCGUGCGGGUCCCGGGGCCAGGCUGGAGGAGCCCCCGGGCCAGGGCCGCGGGGAUCAGCGAGGAUAACACCACGCUCCAUCACAGAGAACACACACCAUCUGGAAAAGGCUCAGGAGUUCAGUCUCAGCUCUUCCCUGCUUGACGUGACCGUUCGAAGUUCCGUCCUGAUUGGACGAGCCCUUGGCGUCAGUGCUCCGUGUGCCCGCCCCACUUCUGAUGGAUUUACACCUUGUGAGGUGCUGCUGUGCUCUGGGUGUUUGAGCUGAUCACAGAGGGAGAGCGGAGCGCGCCGGGCCUGCCCUGUCCCCGGGGAGACGUGCUGUUUGCCUCUGAGGAGACACCGACAUUAAAGCUAACCUCUCCGCUGCUGUUUGUGCGCGCGGCUGUUCAUUACCAGCACUCUUGAGGUGGGGAAUGGAAGGAUCCAGCACGAGAUUUCGUGGUGAAUUUGCGAGAAGAAUUGGAAAGCUGUCAGAGGACGACGAAGAAACCCGAAGAGACUGCUCUGAGUUACGCGCUCUUCAAAACUCUCUCGGAAGGAGGUGUCAGGUGACAUGUGGGUGGAACCAGGCCCAGAGCAGCAGACCCAGUCUGAGAAUACAUCCAAACCUAGGUGUGAAGUGAAUUUCAUCUCCUUUUACGAGCAAAUGUCAACCAGAAUUUACUCAAAGCUGCUGAAGUGAACGGCUCCAAGACACUAGAACUGUGAAAGUUCUCCAGGAGUGCUUCAAAGGCAACAGUUUUUUCGAUACGAGCAAACACUCGUCCAAAGGAUGGAGUCCUGUGGAAAACAGGAGAAAAGCUCUACAGCAUCAGUGUGUGACCGCGGAUGGCUGACCACUCCUAAGGACAAGAUCAAACCCCAGACCCUGUCUGACCUAAUAAUGGUCCGGAUGCCCCCACCGAUGCACCAUGGUGGUGGCUGAGCAAAGUCAGGAGACACAGCAGUUCUACCCAACUGUGUUUAUCUGUCAGGCCCCUCUUGUGAUGACAGUCUCAGUGGAGAUUUCCUGGUAAAAUAAAUGACAUUUGGUAUAAUAACUUCA
This is a long non-coding RNA of Anguilla anguilla (European eel), 1159 nucleotides long. RefSeq lists it as uncharacterized. Lineage: Eukaryota; Metazoa; Chordata; Actinopteri; Anguilliformes; Anguillidae. The record is from RefSeq and is a predicted model, not a curated record. The transcript has 13 exons.